This 253-nucleotide ribosomal RNA is filed under the name uncultured bacterium. Its description in RNAcentral is "partial 16S ribosomal RNA". It matches the Rfam family "Bacterial small subunit ribosomal RNA", at positions 524 to 776 of the family's 1533-position model. The record is from RNAcentral.
UACGUAGGUGGCAAGCGUUGUCCGGAUUUACUGGGCGUAAAGAGCGCGCAGGCGGUCGUUCAAGUCGCGUGUGAAAGCCCCCGGCUCAACUGGGGAGGGUCACGCGAUACUGAUCGACUCGAAGGCAGGAGAGGGUAGUGGAAUUCCCGGUGUAGUGGUGAAAUGCGUAGAUAUCGGGAGGAACACCAGUGGCGAAGGCGACUACCUGGCCUGUUCUUGACGCUGAGGCGCAAAAGCUAGGGGAGCAAACGGG